RNAcentral lists this ribosomal RNA (521 nucleotides) under uncultured bacterium. RNAcentral describes it as "bacterial SSU rRNA". It matches the Rfam family "Archaeal small subunit ribosomal RNA", at positions 345 to 866 of the family's 1478-position model. The record is from RNAcentral.
AACCUCCGCAAUGUGAGAAAUCGCGACGGGGGGAUCCCAAGUGCCAUUCCUAACGGGAUGGCUUUUCAUUAGUGUAAAGAGCUUUUGGAAUAAGGGCUGGGCAAGACCGGUGCCAGCCGCCGCGGUAACACCGGCAGCUCUAGUGGUAACAAUUUUUAUUGGGCCUAAAGCGUCCGUAGCCGGUUUAAUAAGUCUCUGGUGAAAUCCUGUAGCUUAACUGUGGGAAUUGCUGGAGAUACUAUUAGACUUGAGACCGGGAGAGGUUAGAGGUACUCCCAGGGUAGAGGUGAAAUUCUGUAAUCCUGGGAGGACCGCCUGUUGCGAAGGCGUCUAACUGGAACGGUUCUGACGGUGAGGGACGAAAGUUAGGGGCGCGAACCGGAUUAGAUACCCGGGUAGCCCUAACUGUAAACGAUGCGGACUUGGUGUUGGGGUGGCUUUGAGCUGCUCCAGUGCCGAAGGGAAGCUGUUAAGUCCACCGCCUGGGAAGUACGGUCGCAAGAUUGAAACUUAAAGGAAUU